RNAcentral lists this ribosomal RNA (339 nucleotides) under Staphylococcus aureus. RNAcentral describes it as "partial 23S ribosomal RNA". It matches the Rfam family "Eukaryotic large subunit ribosomal RNA", at positions 1144 to 1454 of the family's 3401-position model. Lineage: Bacteria; Bacillati; Bacillota; Bacilli; Caryophanales; Staphylococcaceae. The record is from RNAcentral.
GCAGAACUGGCGCUGUGGGAUGAACCAAACGUAAUGUUACGGUGCCCAAAUUAACAACUCAUGCAGAUACCAUGAAAGGCGUUGGUUGCUUAAAACAGCAGGACGGUGAUCAUGGAAGUCGAAAUCCGCUAAGGAGUGUGUAACAACUCACCUGCCGAAGCAACUAGCCCUUAAAAUGGAUGGCGCUUAAGUUGUAUACCUAUACAUUACCGCUAAAGUAGAUGAUUUAUAUUACUUGUGAUAUAAAUUUUGAAACUUUAGUGAGUAGGAAGGUACAAUGGUAUGCGUAGAAGUGUUUGGCGUAAGCCUGCAUGGAGCUGCCAUUGGUACAGAUCUUGG